UGGGGAAUAUUGGACAAUGGGCGAAAGCCUGAUCCAGCCAUGCCGCGUGUGUGAAGAAGGUCUUCGGAUUGUAAAGCACUUUAAGUUGGGAGGAAGGGCAGUAAGCGAAUACCUUGCUGUUUUGACGUUACCGACAGAAUAAGCACCGGCUAACUCUGUGCCAGCAGCCGCGGUAAUACAGAGGGUGCAAGCGUUAAUCGGAAUUACUGGGCGUAAAGCGCGCGUAGGUGGUUCGUUAAGUUGAAUGUGAAAGCCCCGGGCUCAACCUGGGAACUGCAUCCAAAACUGGCGAGCUAGAGUAGGGCAGAGGGUGGUGAAAUUUCCUGUGUAGCGGUGAAAUGCGUAGAUAUAGGAAGGAAAACCAGUGGCGAAGGCGAACACCUGGGCUCAUACUGACACUGAGGUGCGAAAGCGUGGGGAGCAAACAGG
Molecule: ribosomal RNA, 429 nt
Filed under: Pseudomonadota bacterium
Lineage: Bacteria; Pseudomonadati; Pseudomonadota
Description: Proteobacteria bacterium partial 16S ribosomal RNA
Rfam family: Bacterial small subunit ribosomal RNA
Source: RNAcentral